UGUAGCCGAAAAGUUGCUCCUAGCUCUAAAUCAGGCGAGUGGCUGUGUUCACUCUCAGCUGAUUCGGCUGCGUCCACUUGCUCCAAAUCACCACUGCUGCCUGCGUGCUCGACGCGUGCUUCUGACGCGAGGCUGUUGCCUAACCCUGAUGCAGUACCGGAGUACUCAGGGUUAUCAAGCCACAGAACCUCCUGCUCCUGCUCGUGCUGCUCACUGACGGGUUCCAGUCCUGGGUGAGGCUGCUGCUGCUGAGCAGGGAGGGGCGGACCCUUCUUCACUCCCUUUUGUUGCUUUGCGUGACCUUUGCUAGGGCGCGCUGGCGCACUUGAAUGCUCGAUGGACCCUGGGGGCCGAGCUGAGCGGUGGGGAUUGACACGACGUAGAGAGUCCGCCAGCGCUCAAAAGAUGAUGAGACUCUUACAAGGCUCUAGUGAGAGCGCAGUGUUCAGUGAUGUCCGGGGACACUAUCUCACUGAUGAGUCUGUAUGGCCGGAGCCUGUGUGCACGUACGAUAGUCCUGGGACACACACCAACGCCGGAGCGCUUGGUGGCUGAGUACGGCAAAGAUCGAUAGUUCUCCAACAGCUAGGGCUCGGCACACGGAUGCACCACUAGAGCCACCACUAGCUGGUUCCACACUUAAUAUAAUCACACAAAUGUGCCCGAUGGGCGCGUGGAGUGCCAGACAACACCCAGGAGCUCGGAAGCUCGACACUGAAAGGGGUGUUUCGGCUAUAGAUCCUGAC
This 746-nucleotide long non-coding RNA is filed under the name Volvox carteri. RNAcentral describes it as "long non-coding RNA (VCAR_LNC003450)". Lineage: Eukaryota; Viridiplantae; Chlorophyta; Chlorophyceae; Chlamydomonadales; Volvocaceae. The record is from RNAcentral.